AUUGAACGCUGGCGGAAUGCUUUACACAUGCAAGUCGAACGGCAGCACGGACUUCGGUCUGGUGGCGAGUGGCGAACGGGUGAGUAAUGUAUCGGAACGUGCCCAGUCGUGGGGGAUAACGUAGUGAAAAUUACGCUAAUACCGCAUACGAUCUAUGGAUGAAAGCGGGGGAUCGCAAGACCUCGCGCGAUUGGAGCGGCCGAUAUCAGAUUAGGUAGUUGGUGGGGUAAAGGCCCACCAAGCCAACGAUCGGUAGCUGGUCUGAGAGGACGACCAGCCACACUGGGACUGGGACAGGGUCCAGACUCCUAGGGGAGGCGGCAGUGGGGAAUUUUGGACAAGGGGCGAAAGCCUGAUCCAGCCAUUCCGCGUGCAGGAUGAAGGCCCUCGGGUUGUAAACUGCUUUUGUACAGAACGAAAAGGUUUCUACUAAUACUAGGAGCUCAUAACGGUACUGUAAGAAUAAGCACCGGCUAACUACGUGCCAGCCGCCGCAGUAA
Molecule: ribosomal RNA, 500 nt
Filed under: uncultured bacterium
Lineage: Bacteria
Description: partial 16S ribosomal RNA
Rfam family: Bacterial small subunit ribosomal RNA
Source: RNAcentral